This 301-nucleotide ribosomal RNA is filed under the name uncultured bacterium. Its description in RNAcentral is "partial 16S ribosomal RNA". It matches the Rfam family "Bacterial small subunit ribosomal RNA", at positions 509 to 808 of the family's 1533-position model. The record is from RNAcentral.
CAGUAGCCGCGGGAAUACGUAGGUCCCGAGCGUUGUCCGGAUUUAUUGGGCGUAAAGCGAGCGCAGGCGGUCAGAUAAGUCUGAAGUUAAAGGCUGUGGCUUAACCAUAGUACGCUUUGGAAACUGUUUAACUUGAGUGCAAGAGGGGAGAGUGGAAUUCCAUGUGUAGCGGUGAAAUGCGUAGAUAUAUGGAGGAACACCGGUGGCGAAAGCGGCUCUCUGGCUUGUAACUGACGCUGAGGCUCGAAAGCGUGGGGAGCGAACAGGAUUAGAUACCCCGGUAGUCCCUGUCUCUUAUACA